CCAAAUGGCAAAAUAAAUUUGUUUGUAUUUUUUAUAUUAAAAGAAAAUAACUUAAAGUGUGAUUAAAGUUGAUUGCAAUUUUGAUUUAUGAAAGAAAAUAAAAAGACGAUCACUUGAUUUAGGAUCAAGGUUUAUUAUAGAAAAUAUUUGUGGUUUUGUACAGAUGUCAGUCUUCUGAUCCACACUCUGCCUCCUAAUGACCUCCGCUCUUGUUUGAAGGACGACGCUUCCGGGACUUUGUACCUGAGAGCCUAGUUUCUGUUGUUU
RNAcentral lists this long non-coding RNA (267 nucleotides) under Medicago truncatula (barrel medic). Its description in RNAcentral is "long non-coding RNA (MTRU_LNC003288)". Lineage: Eukaryota; Viridiplantae; Streptophyta; Magnoliopsida; Fabales; Fabaceae. The record is from RNAcentral.